CUGGAGGUAUCAGAAGUGCGAAUGCUGACAUAAGUAACGAUAAAGCGGGUGAAAAGCCCGCUCGCCGGAAGACCAAGGGUUCCUGUUCAACGUUAAUCGGAGCAGGGUGAGUCGACCCCUAAGGCGAGGCCGAAAGGCGUAGUCGAUGGGAAACAGGUUAAUAUUCCUGUACUUGGUGUUACUGCGAAGGGGGGACGGAGAAGGCUAUAUCAGCCGGGCGACGGUUGUCCCGGUUUAAGCGUGUAGGUGUGUGUUCCAGGCAAAUCCGGUUCACUUUACACUGAGGCGUGACGACGAGGCACUACGGUGCUGAAGUGAUAAAUGCCCUGCUUCCAGGAAAAGCCUCUAAGCAUCAGGUAACACAAAAUCGUACCCCAAACCGA
This 383-nucleotide ribosomal RNA is filed under the name Staphylococcus aureus. RNAcentral's name for it is "partial 23S ribosomal RNA". It matches the Rfam family "Bacterial large subunit ribosomal RNA", at positions 1273 to 1657 of the family's 2925-position model. Lineage: Bacteria; Bacillati; Bacillota; Bacilli; Caryophanales; Staphylococcaceae. The record is from RNAcentral.